AGCAGCCGCGGUAAUUCCAGCUCCAAUAGCGUAUAUUAAAGUUGUUGCAGUUAAAAAGCUCGUAGUUGAAUUUCGGGGUUAGCAGGUCGGUCGUGCCAUCGGUAUGAACUGGUCUCGCUGAUCCCUCCCUCUUGACGAACUGUGAUGCCAUUAAUUUGGUGUCGCAGGGAAUCAGGACUGUUACUUUGAAAAAAUUAGAGUGUUUAAAGCAGGCUCACGCUUGAAUACAUUAGCAUGGAAUAAUGAAAUAGGACGUUUGAUCCUAUUUUGUUGGCUUCUAGGAUUGACGUAAUGAUUAAUAGGGAUAGUUGGGGGCAUUAGUAUUCAAUUGUCAGAGGUGAAAUUCUUGGAUUUAUUGAAGACUAACUACUGCGAAAGCAUUUGCCAAGGAUGUUUUCAUUAAUCAAGAACGAAAGUUAGGGGAUCGAAGACGAUCAGAUACCGUCGUAGUCUUAACCAUAAACUAUGCCGACUAGGGAUCGGAUGAUGUUAAUUUUUUAAUGACUCU
RNAcentral lists this ribosomal RNA (508 nucleotides) under uncultured Glomus. RNAcentral describes it as "SSU rRNA". It matches the Rfam family "Eukaryotic small subunit ribosomal RNA", at positions 569 to 1078 of the family's 1831-position model. Lineage: Eukaryota; Fungi; Glomeromycota; Glomeromycetes; Glomerales; Glomeraceae. The record is from RNAcentral.